ACCGGCGCACGGGUGAGUAACACGUAUCCAACCUGCCCUUUACUCGGGGAUAGCCUUUCGAAAGAAAGAUUAAUACCCGAUAGCAUAAUGAUUCCGCAUGGUUUCAUUAUUAAAGGAUUCCGGUAAAGGAUGGGGAUGCGUUCCAUUAGGUUGUUGGUGAGGUAACGGCUCACCAAGCCUUCGAUGGAUAGGGGUUCUGAGAGGAAGGUCCCCCACAUUGGAACUGAGACACGGUCCAAACUCCUACGGGAGGCAGCAGUGAGGAAUAUUGGUCAAUGGGCGCUAGCCUGAACCAGCCAAGUAGCGUGAAGGAUGAAGGCUCUAUGGGUCGUAAACUUCUUUUAUAUAAGAAUAAAGUGCAGUAUGUAUACUGUUUUGUAUGUAUUAUAUGAAUAAGGAUCGGCUAACUCCGUGCCAGCAGCCGCGGUAAUACGGAGGAUCCGAGCGUUAUCCGGAUUUAUUGGGUUUAAAGGGAGCGUAGGUGGACUGGUAAGUCAGUUGUGAAAGUUUGCGGCUCAACCGUAAAAUUGCAGUUGAUACUGUCAGUCUUGAGUACAGUAGAGGUGGGCGGAAUUCGUGGUGUAGCGGUGAAAUGCUUAGAUAUCACGAAGAACUCCGAUUGCGAAGGCAGCUCACUGGACUGCAACUGACACUGAUGCUCGAAAGUGUGGGUAUCAAACAGGAUUAGAUACCCUGGUAGUCCACACAGUAAACGAUGAAUACUCGCUGUUUGCGAUAUACAGUAAGCGGCCAAGCGAAAGCAUUAAGUAUUCCACCUGGGGAGUACGCCGGCAACGGUGAAACUCAAAGGAAUUGACGGGGGCCCGCACAAGCGGAGGAACAUGUGGUUUAAUUCGAUGAUACGCGAGGAACCUUACCCGGGCUUAAAUUGCAGUGGAAUGAUGUGGAAACAUGUCAGUGAGCAAUCACCGCUGUGAAGGUGCUGCAUGGUUGUCGUCAGCUCGUGCCGUGAGGUGUCGGCUUAAGUGCCAUAACGAGCGCAACCCUUAUCUUCAGUUACUAACAGGUCAUGCUGAGGACUCUGGAGAGACUGCCGUCGUAAGAUGUGAGGAAGGCGGGGAUGACGUCAAAUCAGCACGGCCCUUACGUCCGGGGCUACACACGUGUUACAAUGGGGGGUACAGAAGGCAGCUAGCGGGUGACCGUAUGCUAAUCCCAAAAGCCUCUCUCAGUUCGGAUCGAAGUCUGCAACCCGACUUCGUGAAGCUGGAUUCGCUAGUAAUCGCGCAUCAGCCACGGCGCGGUGAAUACGUUCCCGGGCCUUGUACACACCGCCCGUCAAGCCAUGGGAGCCGGGGGUACUUGAAGUACGUAACCGCAAGGAUCGUCCUAGGGUAAAACUGGUGACUGGGGGCUAAGUCGUAACAAGGUAGCC
RNAcentral lists this ribosomal RNA (1396 nucleotides) under uncultured bacterium. Its description in RNAcentral is "bacterial SSU rRNA". It matches the Rfam family "Bacterial small subunit ribosomal RNA". The record is from RNAcentral.